GCCUUGAUUUCUUUGAUAUUUCAAAGGAACUUCACAUCAUGUGGACCAAAUAGUAGAUAACCUCCCGUAUCUAUGGCAUUUAAAACUGAAAAUAUAUUUUUCCUCAUCCCUGGAACAUGAAAGAUAUUGUUAAGAACGAUUGAGUCUGCUUGCUUCUCGUUGAUGACAACUGUGCCUUCGUUAUCCACGUGAUGAACCGUAUUGUCUACUGUUACAAUGACAUCAUGACCAUUGUAUUCUCGAAAGUUGAAAAAUAUAGAUCUAUCUGUAGUGACAUGAUGCCCAUGUUCUGAAUUCACGAUCCAGUCUCUUUCAAAAUUGGUGGAAGUCAUGGCAUCCAUUACUCGACUCUUAGCUACGAAACACUUCCCCAAUCUUCUUUUUCUUCUUCAAUAUCUUUCUUAGUUUAAGCCAUAUUACUCUCUUUGGCUUGACAAUAUCUUUUUAUGUGUUCCAUUUUUCUACACCAAUGACAUUUGAGAGUCUUAUAGUUAUUUGUAGACUCUUCCCUUCUUUCUUGGUGAGCUUGAACCACUUGUGGAUCGAGAAUCCAACAUAUCUUUUGUUGUUUUUUCUUUAAAGUUCCUCUUACCAGCUACAAGAGCAUUUUUUUCUCCUUCUUUCAUUGAUACCGCAACCAUUUGUUUGGUUAGUAACUCCUAUAACGACAAUAAAUUUUCAAACUCCUCCAAGGAUGGUUGUUAAGCCCAUCCAUGAAUCGAUGUCACAAAGGGAAUAUAUUUUGGCUUCAAACCACGAAAAAUAUUUCUUCUUAUUUGUGCUUAAAAUAUAGUCUCAUUUGAGUUUAAUAAAGAGGUCUCAAAAUAUAAUUCUUGAUCUUUAAGAAAUACUCUGCAAUAGAAAGAUUACCUUGCUUGGCUUUAGCCAAUUCAUUCUCCAAUAUCUGUAGCUGAGCUUCAUUCUUCUUAUCAAAUAAAUGAUCAAGGGUCCUCCAAAUAUCAUGAGCUGAUUUACACCUUAUAAUAUGGUCAAAUAAAUUGGAGGAGAUGGUCCUCUUCAGAAUGAACUCCGCCUUCUCAUUAAUCUAUUUUCACUUCUUGUAUGCACUACUAUUCUCCGAUCCAUCAUUUAGAGUACUUGUGUUACUCCCAUUAAAAACAUCUCAAAAAUCCUUGCCCACGAGGUAUGAUUCCAUAUAUGUCUUCCAUACCUUGUAAUUGGACUGAUUCAAUAGCUUAAUUCCUAUUCCAUUAACACGACCGCUUAAAUUCAUUUAGACAAACUAGUUGAAUCGAUCACAAACCCAAUCUUGAAAUAAACAUAAGCUAAUCUAUGACUUCGACUCUGAUGCCAUGUAGAGAAUAGCAGAAGAAAAGUGUAACUGGGGAGACCUUCUGCUAGACGAAGAUCGUUAACUAAGAUCGAAGAUUCAACUAAAGAAGGGGAACUUAUGAAAGUAGAAGGAAGAUAUUGAAUAAGAGAGCUUGGGUAUAGAAGAAUACUUUAUAUGCUUU
This 1475-nucleotide long non-coding RNA is filed under the name Capsicum annuum. RNAcentral describes it as "long non-coding RNA (CANN_LNC020630)". Lineage: Eukaryota; Viridiplantae; Streptophyta; Magnoliopsida; Solanales; Solanaceae. The record is from RNAcentral.